Molecule: unclassified non-coding RNA, 334 nt
Filed under: soil metagenome
Description: partial contains 5.8S ribosomal RNA, internal transcribed spacer 2, and large subunit ribosomal RNA
Rfam family: 5.8S ribosomal RNA (bases 1-120)
Source: RNAcentral
GAUGAAGAACGCAGCGAAAUGCGAUAAGUAAUGUGAAUUGCAGAAUUCAGUGAAUCAUCGAAUCUUUGAACGCACAUUGCGCCCGCCAGUAUUCUGGCGGGCAUGCCUGUUCGAGCGUCAUUUCAACCAUCAAGCCCCAGGCUUGUGUUGGAGCCCUGCGGCUGCUGCAGCCUCCCAAAACCAGUGGCGGGCUCGCUAUCACACCGAGUGCAGUAGUUUACUCUUCGCUCAGGGCGUGUGGCGGGUGCUAGCCGUAAAACCCCCAACUUCUCAAGGUUGACCUCGGAUCAGGUAGGAAUACCCGCUGAACUUAAGCAUAUCAAUAAGCGGAGGA